Molecule: ribosomal RNA, 984 nt
Filed under: Triticum aestivum (bread wheat)
Lineage: Eukaryota; Viridiplantae; Streptophyta; Magnoliopsida; Poales; Poaceae
Description: partial small subunit ribosomal RNA
Source: RNAcentral
AUGAAUGUUCCUAAAUAUUUGUGGGCUGAAGCUGUGAUGACAGCGGCUUAUUUGAUGAAUAGAAUGCCAUCUCGGGUGCUCAAUAACAAGACACCGAUUGAGUGUCUAACUGGUGAAACUACAUAUGUUGUGCCACCAAAGGUAUUUGGAUGUGUAUGUUUUGUGAGGGAUCAUAGACCAUCGGUUGGCAAGCUUGACCCUAGAGCAGUGAAAUGUGUAUUUGUGGGAUACUCUGGAAAACAAAAGGGUUAUAAAUGUUGGUGCCCAUCAGAAAAACGGAUGUUUGUGAGCAUGGAUGUAGUGUCCAGGGAACAUGAACCAUAUUAUGGGGAACCGGUAGAUUUAACUGAUGUCUUCCCUGAUGAUGUUACAGGCCUGGACAACGAGACAGGGGGAGACGACAGCAGAGAAGGCAAUGAUGUAGCACUAGAGAAGAUGAUAGUUGGGGUUAUACCUAUUGAAGAUGUGCAAGACGAUGCAGGGCAAGAAAAUGAACAGAGAGAACAACAAAGUGACUCUAAUGGAGCAUUACAAUGGCCAAAACCGAAUGAGGAACGAGAAGUUCAAGUGUUUACACGGAGGCAUAGAUGGCCAAAACCAAAUGAGGAACGAGAAGUUCAAGUGUUUACACGGAGGCAUAGAAUUGAGAAGGAGCAAGUGCAGAGACAAGAACCUAACCCACCGGAGUGUGGUACAGAAACUCAAGAGCUUACUGAUACAUAUGAUUUAGAUGAUGGUACGCUUCCUCAUUCUCUUCCACAUGAGGAUUUAGAUGCUCCUAUUGCUCUUAGGAAGCAACCCCGCACUACUGCUGGGAAAUUACCAUCAAAGCUAUCUCCAUAUGAUGUCUCAAAUUAUGUGUCAUAUGCAUCCUUGGGUUCCAAGUAUAAAGGUGAAGGAAGAGCACCUGAGGUGAUUGAAGCUUCAGGAAAUUUCCCCACUAGACAUCAAAUAUCAAGAUAUCAUGGUAUCCCAUCUCGCUAA